RNAcentral lists this ribosomal RNA (447 nucleotides) under uncultured bacterium. RNAcentral describes it as "bacterial SSU rRNA". It matches the Rfam family "Bacterial small subunit ribosomal RNA", at positions 329 to 793 of the family's 1533-position model. The record is from RNAcentral.
UGCCAGACUCCUACGGGAGGCAGCAGUGGGGAAUAUUGCACAAUGGGGGAAACCCUGAUGCAGCGACGCCGCGUGAGCGAUGAAGUAUUUCGGUAUGUAAAGCUCUAUCAGCAGGGAAGAAGAUGACGGUACCUGACUAAGAAGCCCCGGCUAACUACGUGCCAGCAGCCGCGGUAAUACGUAGGGGGCAAGCGUUAUCCGGAUUUACUGGGUGUAAAGGGAGCGUAGACGGCGAUGCAAGCCAGAUGUGAAAGCCCGGGGCUCAACCCCGGGACUGCAUUUGGAACUGUGUGGCUGGAGUGUCGGAGAGGCAGGCGGAAUUCCUAGUGUAGCGGUGAAAUGCGUAGAUAUUAGGAAGAACACCAGUGGCGAAGGCGGCUUUCUGGACUGAAACUGACGCUGAGGCACGAAAGCGUGGGGAGCGAACAGGAUUAGAUACCCCAGUAC